UUCGAAGGUUGGGGUUUUGAUCGUUUGGGUUUGAAGCCUUUAUAGUGAUCACUCUUCUCGAAGGUUGUUGCCUCCUUAUUCUUGGAACCAAAGCUUCUCUCCGGUGCUUCGAGCUCUCCUUGUAAUUUUCUUCAAGAUCCAGUUCUUUGAUCACAGGUUCCAGUGUUUGAGUGAUGAGUGGAUGGUUUUAAGUUUGAGGCUGAUAUCAUGCAAAGGGGAAAGUGUGUGAGGCUGUUGCUAGUGUUGGAGGACAAGAGAUUUGAAGGAUUCGUGGCGAGACCACAUACGUUGGUAUCACCAUAGUCUGUAGCCGUCAUAGGACUGGUUGUUCCAA
Long non-coding RNA from Asparagus officinalis (garden asparagus), 334 nucleotides. RefSeq lists it as uncharacterized. The transcript has 3 exons. The record is from RefSeq and is a predicted model, not a curated record. NCBI's taxonomy places the organism in Eukaryota, Viridiplantae, Streptophyta, Magnoliopsida, Asparagales, Asparagaceae.